Molecule: ribosomal RNA, 460 nt
Filed under: uncultured bacterium
Lineage: Bacteria
Description: partial 16S ribosomal RNA
Rfam family: Bacterial small subunit ribosomal RNA
Source: RNAcentral
CCUACGGGUGACAGCAGUGAGGAAUAUUGGUCAAUGGACGAAAGUCUGAACCAGCCAAGUAGCGUGAAGGAUGACUGCCCUCUGGGUUGUAAACUGCUUUUAGAUGGGAAUAAAAUGUUCCACGUGUGGGAUUUUGUAUGUACCAUAUGAGUAAGGAUCGGCUAACUCCGGGCCAGCAGCCGCGGUAAUACGGAGGAGCCGCGCGUUAUCCGGAUUUAUUGGGUUUAAAGGGAGCGUAGGGGGAUUGUUAAGUCAGUUGUGAAAGUUUGCGGCUCAACCGUGGAAUUGCAGUUGAAACUGGAAGUCUUGAGUACAGUCGAGGUGGGCGGAAUUCGUGGUGUAGCGGUGAAAUGCUUAGAUAUCACGAAGAACUCCGAUUGCGAAGGCAGCUGACUGGACUGCAACUGACGCUGAGGCUCGAAAGUGUGGGUAUCAAACAGGAUUAGAUACCCCAGUAGUC